CAGCAGCCGCGGUAAUACGGAGGGUGCAAGCGUUAAUCGGAAUUACUGGGCGUAAAGCGCACGCAGGCGGUUUGUUAAGUCAGAUGUGAAAUCCCCGAGCUUAACUUGGGAACUGCAUUUGAAACUGGCAAGCUAGAGUCUUGUAGAGGGGGGUAGAAUUCCAGGUGUAGCGGUGAAAUGCGUAGAGAUCUGGAGGAAUACCGGUGGCGAAGGCGGCCCCCUGGACAAAGACUGACGCUCAGGUGCGAAAGCGUGGGGAGCAAACAGGAUUAGAUACCCGGGUAGUCCCUGUCUCUUAUAC
RNAcentral lists this ribosomal RNA (301 nucleotides) under uncultured bacterium. RNAcentral's name for it is "partial 16S ribosomal RNA". It matches the Rfam family "Bacterial small subunit ribosomal RNA", at positions 509 to 807 of the family's 1533-position model. The record is from RNAcentral.